RNAcentral lists this ribosomal RNA (205 nucleotides) under Sporolactobacillus inulinus. Its description in RNAcentral is "partial 16S rRNA". It matches the Rfam family "Bacterial small subunit ribosomal RNA", at positions 1332 to 1533 of the family's 1533-position model. Lineage: Bacteria; Bacillati; Bacillota; Bacilli; Caryophanales; Sporolactobacillaceae. RNAcentral also lists the same sequence under 1 other name. The record is from RNAcentral.
UUGCUAGUAAUCGCGGAUCAGCAUGCCGCGGUGAAUCCGUUCCCGGGCCUUGUACACACCGCCCGUCACACCACGAGAGUUUGUAACACCCGAAGUCGGUGUGGGAACCUUUAUGGACCCAGCCGCCGAAGGUGGGACAAAUGAUUGGGGUGAAGUCGUAACAAGGUAGCCGUAUCGGAAGGUGCGGCUGGAUCACCUCCUUUCU